GUGACGUGAUGAUCUAGUUUAUCCAUUCGCUGAGCGGCAGCCGUCUUGUCUCUGCUCUGCUCCCGUUUUGGGGGCGGGGCCUCUCUGCUGAGGUUCCAGGUUCAUGCUGGCGUUCUGCUGGUUCUGACCCGGAACCGCACGGAGAGAAGGACUCGACCGACUGCUACCAAGACGAUUAACUGUUCUGAUCAC
Platichthys flesus (European flounder) is the source of this 192-nucleotide small nucleolar RNA. RefSeq annotates it as small nucleolar RNA SNORD17. The record is from RefSeq and is a predicted model, not a curated record. The transcript has a single exon. Lineage: Eukaryota; Metazoa; Chordata; Actinopteri; Pleuronectiformes; Pleuronectidae.